This 60-nucleotide microRNA precursor is filed under the name Caenorhabditis brenneri. RNAcentral describes it as "microRNA cbn-mir-72b precursor". Its record names the gene cbn-mir-72b. The record is from miRBase by way of RNAcentral. Lineage: Eukaryota; Metazoa; Nematoda; Chromadorea; Rhabditida; Rhabditidae.
AGGCAAGACGUAAGGCGUUGCCGAACGAAGUUUCAACCGGCAGCGCCAACGUAUUGCCAA